Molecule: small nuclear RNA, 164 nt
Filed under: Cebus imitator (Panamanian white-faced capuchin)
Lineage: Eukaryota; Metazoa; Chordata; Mammalia; Primates; Cebidae
Description: U1 spliceosomal RNA (ENSCCAG00000006541.1)
Rfam family: U1 spliceosomal RNA
About the family: U1 is a small nuclear RNA (snRNA) component of the spliceosome (involved in pre-mRNA splicing). Its 5' end forms complementary base pairs with the 5' splice junction, thus defining the 5' donor site of an intron. There are significant differences in sequence and secondary structure between metazoan and yeast U1 snRNAs, the latter being much longer (568 nucleotides as compared to 164 nucleotides in human).
Source: Rfam by way of RNAcentral
AUACUUACCUGGCAGGGGAGAUACCGUGAUCAUGAAGGUGGUUUUCCCAGGGCGAGGCUUAUCCGUUGCACUCUGGAUGUGCUGACCCCUGUGAUUUCCCCAAAUGUGGGAAACUCGACUGCAUAAUUCGUGGUAGUGGGGGACUGCGUUUGUGCUUUUCCAUG